This 949-nucleotide ribosomal RNA is filed under the name Cladophora sp. ZZ-2016. RNAcentral's name for it is "eukaryotic LSU rRNA". The stretch from base 472 to 625 matches the Rfam family "5.8S ribosomal RNA". Lineage: Eukaryota; Viridiplantae; Chlorophyta; Ulvophyceae; Cladophorales; Cladophoraceae. The record is from RNAcentral.
UGAGAAGUGUACAGGUCUCCGUAGGUGAACCUGCGGAGGGAUCCAUAGCAAUCGUAAACAAACAUGUCGGUCAAUAAAAAGCGAGGGGGGACGCCCUUUCCACCGACCCUCCUUGGCUAGGGCUGGCCGUCCCAGCGGCGCGCCAGACCCAGGCCUCACUGCCACGGUACCGUGGUGCCCUGCAACCCCCGGGAGAACGUUGUCCCACACGGGGCGCGCAGGACCCAAGCACCCGGUACGGGCUUACGGCUGGACGGACACCACCCAAGCGGGUGGCUCGGCCGUCCAGCCGGAAGCUGGGGCCUCAACCACACGCAGCCAUUCGGCGGUGGCCCAUUCACGAAUGGCCCACCAACACCCGCUGGCUGUGGAGCCCCGCCGCCGCUAUACUACAUUCACAACAAUCAUCCUCAGAAUCAACCUGUGUGUGUGCCUUGAGCGUCUAGCACGCCAAGCAAGCUAACUGAAAGUAACACUGUACAAUGGAUUUCUUGGCUCCCACAUCGAUGAAGAACGCAGCAAAGCGCGAUAGGUAGUGUGAAUUGCAGAAUUCCGUGAAUCAUCGAAUUUUUGAACGCACAUUGCGCUCAAGCCUUCGGGCUUGAGCAUGUCUGCCUCAGCGUCGUUUCAAAUGGCUUGCCGUCCGUGACCCUUGCCACUCCCUUCAGGGACGGCAUGGGUUUAAGCCGUGACCUCCGGCGCGUCCGUCCAUCCGUGGGCGGCGUGCGGCAGCGGCCACUCCGGCACUGCUCAUCGUAAGCAUGCUGCAUACCGUGGCACAACAAUGCUCUACCAUGGGCCCUGCUGGUUGGUUGAUGAUGUAGUUUUGUGGGGCCUUGUGCUUGCUCGCAGGCUGUGCUCUCUCUCUCCAUCAUCAGCUGGACCCCCUGGCUGCGCAACACACCAUUCGACCUGAGUUUAGGCAGGGUACCCGCGAACUAAGCUCUAU